Molecule: ribosomal RNA, 824 nt
Filed under: Nocardia fluminea
Lineage: Bacteria; Bacillati; Actinomycetota; Actinomycetes; Mycobacteriales; Nocardiaceae
Description: bacterial SSU rRNA
Rfam family: Bacterial small subunit ribosomal RNA
Source: RNAcentral
CCUUCGGGGUACACGAGCGGCGAACGGGUGAGUAACACGUGGGUGAUCUGCCUUGCACUUCGGGAUAAGCCUGGGAAACUGGGUCUAAUACCGGAUAUGACCACGAACUGCAUGGUUUGUGGUGGAAAGAUUUAUCGGUGCGAGAUGGGCCCGCGGCCUAUCAGCUUGUUGGUGAGGUAACGGCUCACCAAGGCGACGACGGGUAGCCGACCUGAGAGGGUGACCGGCCACACUGGGACUGAGACACGGCCCAGACUCCUACGGGAGGCAGCAGUGGGGAAUAUUGCACAAUGGGCGCAAGCCUGAUGCAGCGACGCCGCGUGCGGGAUGACGGCCUUCGGGUUGUAAACCGCUUUUGACAGGGACGAAGCGCAAGUGACUGUACCUGUAGAAUAAGGACCGGCCAACUACGUGCCAGCAGCCGCGGUAAUACGUAGGGUCCGAGCGUUGUCCGGAAUUACUGGGCGUAAAGAGCUUGUAGGCGGUUCGUCGCGUCGUUUGUGAAAACUUGGGGCUCAACCUUAAGCUUGCAGGCGAUACGGGCGGACUAGAGUACUUCAGGGGAGACUGGAAUUCCUGGUGUAGCGGUGAAAUGCGCAGAUAUCAGGAGGAACACCGGUGGCGAAGGNGGGUCUCUGGGAAGUAACUGACGCUGAGAAGCGAAAGCAUGGGUAGCAAACAGGAUUAGAUACCCUGGUAGUCCAUGCCGUAAACGGUGGGUACUAGGUGUGGGGCUCCUUCCACGGACUCCGUGCCGUAGCUAACGCAUUAMGUACCCCGCCUGGGGAGUACGGCCGCAAGGCUAAAACUCAAAGAAAUUKGAC